Molecule: long non-coding RNA, 238 nt
Organism: Saccostrea cuccullata (small rock oyster)
Lineage: Eukaryota; Metazoa; Mollusca; Bivalvia; Ostreida; Ostreidae
Exons: 3
Source: RefSeq, a predicted model, not a curated record
GUCUUGGGCAUUGAUAACCCAAAUACAAUCACUGAAUAUGCCCAUCUUGCCCUGUACUGCUUUGCCAACAGUCAGGUGUCCAGUGCUCUAAGGUUGAUAUACAGAACACGAUAUCUGGCUUUACUUUGUCACGGAGAGGAUCAUCCAGAGGUGGCACUGAUUGAUAGCAAUGUUGGACUGAUUCUCCACGCUGUCGAGGAGUUUGAUUUGUCCCUGAGGUUCCUGGAGCAUGCUCUGG